AACAUAUUGGCGAUUAUUUCACACAUUCCAUAUCAGCCACACCAGAUAGUUGAUGUUGGCAAUUGGAAAUUAUUUAGUACAUGAUGAUAAUCAGAUUCAUGUUUAGCAGUUAACUGGGGCAAUGACAGCACCAACGACAGUAAGGCCAGUCUUCCAGGUGGUUCCAUCACAUCCAUUCAUCGAGAACUUGACAGUAUUCUCACAGCCGCAGGCGCCUGUGUUGCAGAAUUCACCAACCUUAAGUCCCACCAAUGCAUUCGUUGGCUUGGUCUUCAAAUCUUCCUUGUGCUCUUCAGUAGUGCCGUUGGGACGAGUAAGCUUAAGGGUCACUGGACCAUUCAUGCAAAGAUUGUCGCUAAGCUCCACAGCAAGAUACACUGCGUAUUUCACUCCCUUGGUGAGGUUGUUGGCAUUGUACUUUCCGUCAAUUUGUAGCCAGCAUACUGUGAUCAGUUCAGCAACCUCCAUAGGCUGGCAGCUGUGUGUACAAAAGUCCGAAAAACCAAAUAUUAUGUAAAAAUUAUCUCAAAUCUUUGGUCUCGAAAAAUGGAAGUCAAUGGGAUGUUUGGGUUAGCUGAAAAGAAGUGACUUUUUACUUAAAUUAAAGAAGUGGAGUAGAAGUGAGAAGUAAAUAAGUUAAUAAAGAGUUUGGAAAAGAGGUAGAAGCUGUGAGAGAAAAUCUAGUAUCCUCAGCUUCUUAAAAGUGCUUCUACUUAUUUACACAAACAGCUCAAGAAAAGCAUAAGCCAACACCAACUUCUGUCCGGUCAUUAAAUUUGUAGUACAAAAACACCAAAAGCUUUCCAACAUGUGCUAUACAUACCUGAUUGGGUAUGUCUUAGAAACCCAUUUCCAGUAGCGGCUGUCUGAACCCCAAACUAUUGAGAGUUCCUUUGCACUGAUCACCGCAGCGAAGGACUGGACCAAUUAAUCAACAUUAACGGAGAUAUAUAUAUCGUACAAAAUUAUAUGACUAAUUAGACUAUAAUUAAGAACAAGUCACACGCAGGCAGGUGUGUGCAUGGUGCAUAACAAUAAUACUAUUGCAGAAUUAUAAUUUCAUUAAUUACCUAAAUAAAAAAAGAAGUGAAAAUUAAAAACCAAAAUAACUUACACUCUUGUCUUUCGCAGCCUGGACACCUUGAGUCCACAAUGACACGAUGUCAUCACGCACACGCUGCACUUGAGCCAUCCUCCUUGCUAGUUGAGAAUAAGAAGUUCUUAUGUAAUUCUUGUGCUGUCGAUGCCAAUCCUCACUUCCUUGAGCUCUAUUUAUAGCAUUUCCGACGGUCCUAUUUGUCCACUGAUUGAUAGUUACACUUAACCUUAUCUACGGUAGUAGGAUGCUCUGUCCCGUUAUUCUUUCUUUUUAUAAAAUAAGUGGAGCUUGGAUAAGAGAUUCAUCAAUUAUUUAUGCCAAUUGUGCGGUACAAGCCUCACUGGAAUCUGGUGAAUUUCGGUUUUGAUUGAAAUACUCAUAUAACGACGAAAGCGUGGAAGCAUCCGACUACGAGAAAAGAAUUACAGUGACAGGACUACUUCUGUCAGAGCAGGACAUUACUCAACUCGAUUAACUCUGAAAUUUAAUAUUGGCACACAUGAACCAAACCACAAAAAACUGAGCUUCUCAUGAAUCAUUAAACCAGAAUAUUUAGGAAACUGAACUAGAAAAUUCGUCACAAGAUCUGCCUGUAUAAAUAAACUUAUAAUUACUUUUAAGGCUGUUAAAUUUCAUAAUAUAUGUUUGUGAAAAAAUAUUUGAAAUCCAGACAACCGACUACCAUAGGCUGUUUCUAACCUGGUAACCUUUUUGCCCAGAUACCGACCAAAUUAAGUUAUUUCUAAGUAAACACAUAAUUUAAGAAAUGAACCUCACAUUUCCGACCGCUAGUGUAUGAAAUCGGUCGGUAAUGACUUGACGGUCGGAAAUGAAUUUAGUUUGUCGGUUUUUAAACAGAGAAUCCCCAAAUGAUCCUGCAAUACCUUCUGACUGACUCAUUUCCGACCAACUAAAAUAUUGGUCACUUUUAUAAUAGGGGCUCCCCAAUUGAACCUUGAAUUUCGUUCUGACCAAAUCAUUUCCGACCAACGUUAUUGGUUGGUUUUAAAACAGGGCCCCGAAUGAACCCUAAAAUUUAUUUCUGGCCGCCUCUAGUUGGUUUUAGGUCUAUUCAAGUGUAUGCCAGGUUCUAAGAAAAUUUUAAAACAUUACCGACUAAAGAUAGCGGUCGGUUGUCGAUCGGUUAUAAAUAUCAUUUCCGAUCUUUUAUUUACAACCAGGUUUCAAAGGACCAACACAAUCGGUCGGUCGGUGGUCGGUUACGAGGUGAAAACCGACCAACUCUCUUUAUUUCCGGUCGGCGGUCGGAAAUGCCCGCUUUUCUUGUAGUGAUAGCAAUUUCUAUCGGAACACAAUAUCUUACACCUUUAAGUCAUAAAUCACUGUUUUAAACUUUCCAAACAGCUUCCAAGUGUCAUAUUAAGCUUAUCUGAUGGCCCUUGUACUCGAAACAGUAUAAACCAUAUACAAACGAACACCACCAGAGCAAGGGUGUAGCCAAAAAGCUCAGAAAUUGCGUUAAAAACUUUUUAACAUCUUUGUACGAGGGAGUAACUAAACAAAAGGUGAUUAAAGCACUCUGCUUAAAGUGUCAACAAAACUAAGUUCGUGUUCACUUGAAUGAAAUAAAAUGAAAUGAAAAAUUGUUUGUAAAUUUAAUGGAAAAUGAACAAGUUACGAGCAGUGUUACGAAAAUUGGACCUAAUCAGUUAACCUACCCAUUUAGGAUUAUGAGCAAUCCGUGAUUAAUCGGAAGGAUUAAUUGGAGUGAAAACCAGAUAUAUUUUAAUAUUAAAUAACAUUUAAUAUUUUGUUAUUAUUGUAUUAGUUAUUUAUUAACAAAUAUAUAUUUAGUAUAUCAUAAAUUCUACAGUUGUUCAUAUUUAAAGUAAUAUAAUAGUUAAUUUUAAUAAAUUUUAUAGAUAAUUUGAUUAAGAAUAAUUUAUAAGGAUUAAUCAGAUUUUAAAAAUCAUAUCGGUCGCCUACCUUGGGGGAUUGAUCGUUAAAUCAAGGGAUUUUUAGAACAAUGGAUACGAGGCAAUAGUGACUAAACACGGAUGAGCCUAAAUUUAGUGUACUCUUAGACUUUGUUCACUUGGAUGGAAUGAAAUGCUGGGAGAAUGAAAUGAUAUUUGUAUUAUAUUUUGGGGAGGUUGGAGUAAAUGUUUAUUAUUUUCAUUCCUUCUAUCAUUCUACACACCAUUCUACACCAUUUGAGUUAAAAAAUCUAACCCACAUAUUUUCAAAGGAAUGCUCGAUUCCAUUUCUUCUCUAUCUUCCCCAACAAUCCCCGUCAUGCAAAAUUCAGAUUCUCAACCUCACUCACUAUUGUCUCAUACAUUCUCCUUUCUCUUUUGUAGUUUUUCAUUCCAAGUAAACGCAACUUUAGUGUGCUUAAUUAAACAAACAUCAGCAGACAACAAUAUACAGUUCCUCAUUAUGUUUAACUUAUCUUUUAGUCAGAUCUUUAAGUUGAAAGUGCUAAAGUGACAGUAGAGACCUUGAAGCAAUUACGAGCUAAACGUUAUAAUAGCUUGAACACUCCGUACUUUAACUUUUUAUAUAUUAUAACACCAACAUAUUGGCGAUUAUUUCACACAUUCCAUAUCAGCCACACGUACCAGACAGGUGAUGCUGGCAAUUAACUGGAAAUUAUUUAGUACAUGAUGAUUAUAAUGAGAUUCAUGUUUAGCAGUUAACUGGGGCAAUGACAGCACCAACGACAGUAAGGCCCGUCUUCCAGGUGGUUCCAUCACAUCCAUUCAUCGAGAACUUGACAUCAGUAUUCUCACAGCCACAGGCGCCUGUGUUGCAGAAUUCACCAACCUUAAGUCCCACCAAAGUAUUCGUUGGCUUUGUCUUCAAAUCUUCCUUGUGCUCUUCAGUAGUGCCGUUGGGACGAGUAAGCUUAAGGGUCACUGGUCCAUUCAUGCAAAGAUUGUCGCUAAGCUCCACAGCAAGAUACACUGCGUAUUUCACUCCCUUGGUGAGGUUGUUGGCAUUGUACUUUCCGUCAAUUUGUAGCCAGCAUACUGUGAUCAGUUCAGCAACCUCCAUAGGCUGGCAGCUGUGUGUACAAAAGUCCGAAAAACCAAAUAUUAUGUAAAAAUUAUCUCAAAUCUUUGGUCUCGAAAAAUGGAAGUCAAUGGGCUGUUUGGGUUAGCUGAAAAGAAGGGACUUUUUACUUAAAUUAAAAAAGGGGAGUAGAAGUGAGAAGUAAAUAAGUUAAUAAAGAGUUUGGAAAAGAAGUAGAAGUUGUGAGAGAAAAUCUAGUGUGCCUGUUUGUUUAGCAGAAGCAGGGGCUUCUGCUUCUGACUUCUGCUUCUUGACCCGUUUGUGUAAAGAAGUAGAAGCACUUUUAAGAAGCUGAGAAUGCUAGCUUCUCUCUCACAGCUUCUACUUUUUUUCCAAACACUUUAUUCACUUAUUUACUUCUCACUUCUAAUUCACUUCUUUAUUUUAAACAAAGAAGCACUUCUUUUAAGCUUAGCCAAACGGCCCCAGUAUCUUCAGUUUCUUAAAAGUGCUUUUACUUAUUUACACAAACAGCUCAAGAAAAGCAGAAGCCAGAAGCAACUUCUGUCUCGUCAUUAAAUUUGUAGUACAAAAACACCAAAAGCUUUCCAACAUGUGCUAUACAUACCUGAUUGGGUAUGUCUUAGAAACCCAUUUCCAGUAGCGGCUGUCUGAACCCCAAACUAUUGAGAGUUCCUUUGCACUGAUAACCGCAGCGAAGGACUGGACCAAUUAAUCAACAUUAACGGAGAUAUUUCCGAAUCAAAAUAUAUCGUACAAAAUUUAUAUGACUAAUUAGACUAUAAUUAAGAACAAGUCACACGCAGGCAUACUGGUGUGGGCAUGGUGCAUGACACUAAUACUAUUGCAGAAUUAUAAUUUCAUAAUUACCUAAAUAAAAAAAUAGUGAAAAUUAACAACCAAAAUAACUUACACUCUUGUCUUUCGCAGCCUGGACACCUUGAGUCCACAAUGACACGAUGUCAUCACGCACACGCUGCACUUGAGCCAUCCUCCUUGCUAGUUGAGAAUAAGAAGUUCUUAUGUAAUUCUUGUGCUGUCGAUGCCAAUCCUCACUUCCUUGAGCUCUAUUUAUAGCGUUGCGUACGGUCCUAUUUGUGCACUUAUUGAUAGUUACACUUAAACUUAUCUACGGUAGUCGGAUGCUCUGUCCCGUUAUUCUUUCUUUUUAUAAAAUAAGUGGAGCUUGGAUAAGAGAUUCAUCAAUUAUUUAUGCCAUUUGUGCGGUACAAGCCUCACUGGAAUCUGGUAACUUUCGGUUUUGAUUGAAAUACUCAUAUAACGACGAAAUCGUGGAAGCAUCCGACUAUGAGAAAAGAAAUACAGUGACAGGAGUACUUCUGUCAGAUCUAGGAGCCUAGGACAUUACUCAGCUCGAUUAACUCUGAAAUUUAAUAUUGGCACAGAUGAACCAAACCACGAAACAUUGAGCUUCUCAGUAAUUGUUGAACCAGAAUCUGGAAACUGAAGUAGAAUAUUCGUCACAAGAUCUUCCUGUAUAAAUAAACUUAUAAUUACUUUCAAGGCUGUUACAUUUGGUAAUGAGUAAUGCUACGUACACAGAAACGGAUACAGAUUUGUGUACAGAAUGACGUGGAUUCCACCGACUUUCUCACUUCAUUUAUCAUUCAUACUCUGUCGUUGUUUUCUUUUCUUUUUUCAAUACAUCUCCGCUUCUUUUAGUUCUGUCUUCUACUUUUGAGUCUUUAUAGUAUUUUGUUAUAUAGGCAGUUUAUAUGUUUAAUCGAUUUUUGAUAAUUUUAUUAUAUAAACAAAUAUAUUUUUUUUACAUUUUGAUAUCUUUCUUUACUUCUAUUAUUCAAUAUAUUUAUCAUAUAUGUAUUAUUAUCUUGAAAUUUGACAUUUUCUUCCAUAAUUUAUUUACUGUAUUUUGUAGUGGAUUGAUCUAUUUUAUAUUCCAAAACUCUUAAAUAUCUAUUUUAUCAUUCAUAUUACCAACAUAUUUAACAUAUUCGUUAUACAUGAAAUAUUUUUGUGCGAUUAUAAUAUCUUAAAUGGCAUUUACUACUUUUAAAUUAAGAUAAUGAAUAUUCUAAAUUUUAAAACUUUAAACGUUAUUUAGAAUUUUAUAUUCAGCGAGCACUUUUGUUAUACAUGUAGUUGUGAUUUUUAAACAUUUUUUGUUCAAAUAAAAUUUUGACAACUUUUAAUUUAAAAUAUAUAUUUAUAUUUAUUUUGUAGAAGUUUCUUUCUCUUAAUUAGCUGAUAUAUUUAUACGAAACUUUUUUAUUUUAUAUUCCAAAACAAUCAAAUAUAUAUUUUAUUUUUAGAAUAGAAAAUAAACAAGUCCUCUACAGAAGUACAAUAAAUAAAUUAUUAUCUAAUAGAAGGACAAAUAUAUCAAAUUAUAAAAUUAUAAAGAUAAUAAUAAAAAAUGAAUUAGAUAAUACAAGUAAAACAAAUAUAUCAAUGUAUAAUAUAAAUAUAUUUGUAUAAAGAAUAAAAUGGUAAAAAACGAUUAAAGCAGAGGGUGUGUAUAAUAAAAAUAGCAGCAUAUAAAGACUCCAAGGCAAUAGAAAAAAAAUAAAGCAGAGGGUGGAAAGAAAAAAUCAAAGCCGAGGGAUGAAGAGUGAAUAAAGAUAAUAAAUGAAAAGAGAAUGAUAUUGGAAUCCACGUCAUUCUGACUCUGUACACAAUUCUGUAUCAGUUUCGGUGGACCUAGCAUUAUUCUUUCGUAAUAUAUGUUGGGUUUGUCUGUGCCCAUGGGUACAUGCUAAGCACGAAAUUUUAUAAGUUUGGUGAAUUUUAAUUGGUGUGGUUGGUGAAUUUGCAAGGGGUCCACCAUUAUAAAGAAAUAAGAGCCAAUCAAAAUCACUCAAACUUAAGAAUUUUAGUGCUUAGUGUGUGCCCCUAGGCACACACUAGAAAAACCGAUAUAUGUUUGUGAAUAUAUAAUGAAGUAGUAGCCAACACUACAAAAAACUGUCCUGUUUACGACGGAAAUUAAGCCUGAAAUCUGUCAUAAUUCCGAAGUUAUGACAGAAAAAUUCCGCCGUUUUUUAUCGAUUAGUAAGUUUAAAACCAUUCACAAAUUUCGGUAUACUUUGCAAGUUACAUAAGGCGUCACAAGUUUCACUAGAUGGCCUCCAUAAUUUCACUAUUAUAAUGGCAAACUUUACGACGCACAAUUCAUCGUAAGAUAGCUUUUUAUGACAGAAUUUUCAUUGUAAGUUGCGUAUUAUUCUAUUGGCAGAUGGGACCCACUUAUAUGAAAUUUACGACGAAAAUUUGAAUUUGUGACCAAUUUUUGAACUUUUGACUCGAGCAAAAAGACGGAAAAAAUCCGUCGUAAUUGGACCAUUUACGACGGAUUCAGUGUUAAAAAUCCGUCAUAAAUGGGUUUAUUUGUUGCAGUGAAUAUAUAGUUGCCCAUAAGGAGACUGAUGAAAAAGGAGUGGUACAUUUAGGUCCAAGAUUUAUAUUCUUGAUUGCUAGAAAUAAUUCGGAUGCUAUUUUAUUUUUAAUGAGUUAAGGUGGUGACCGAUAAAAUUUAAAUUCAAAUACUUUGGGACGUGGAAUAGUACUUUUUUUUUUUUUUAUUAAAAGUUAAUCCUUAUUAAAUCAUCAAAUGUUAGACAAUAGUGUCUCCGACAAGCAUAAUGGAGGAGACGAAAUAACAAUGAAGCUACUAAGCUUAUAAGAAUUUUAGCCAUCUAAUUAUCUGCUGCCUUAUUUGAAGGAUUUCUAACAUAUCUGGGAGUCACUUUCUAUAAUAUAUUCAGCUAUUAGUUCAGCAACCUCCAGAGCCUGGGAGCUGUGUGUACAAAAGUCCCAAAAACCAAAUAUUAUGUAAAACUAGUUGAGAAGCCGCGUUGCGGCGGCCUAUAAAAAUUAUAUUAAUGGCUCAAUAUUAAUAUUUGUAAAAUAAAAUAAUUUUGUGUUUGUCUAUAAAAAGUAUAUUAAUGUUUCAAAAUUAAUAUUUGUAGGAUAAAAUAAAUUUUAUAUUAUAAAAAUCUUGAUGUAAUACCAAUACUAAUAGAUAAAAUUGCAAAAUUGGACUAUAAUUCAUGAUGAAAAAAUGAAAAUAAAUUUAUACACGUAAUUAACAAUUUAAAACACGGCGAAUAUUAAUUUUAUUUGUGUUUUUUUAAAAGUAAUCAUGUUCUUACAUUGUCACUUUACUCCAAUUUUUUUGGAUUGAUUGUGCACAAACACGUCUAACUUAAAUCUGUGAGAUAGCGGUGUAUAACUACCCUUGCUUGUAACAAACUUUAAAUUUUAAUACUGUAUAAACAGUCUUACUUAAAAGUUGCUUGAAUAGAGCAAACAGAUAAUGCAUGAAUAAUUUUUUUUCAAUGUAUACAAAAUAAAUCAUAUAAAAAUUAACAACAUAUUCGAAGAACAAAAACAAACGUUAUAAAAUAAUAACCAACAAACAUACAUCACUAACAGUUAAUUUAUUGAUAUCAUCCAUCAAUAUCAUGUCAAGACUAUAUUCUUUUCCCGUGUUUUGAUUUGUCGACUCCAACAUAGCGGUCUAUAACUACCUUUGCUUACAACAACCUUUAUUUUUUUAAUACUGUAUAAACAGCCUUCACUUAUCGUUGCUGAAGAACGGCACUACCGAGUUAGAAAUCGAGCAAGAGAAUUAUCACCAAAGAGAGGUAAGGUUGUGGUAUUGAGAGAAAGAAUGUUGUGUUUAGAUGAUCUAAAACCCUACAAUCUAUAGGGGAUUUAUAGGUGCAGAGAGACCUGUGUGCUACUCUUUUCCAUAAUUAAAUAAUAUGAAACAAAAUCAGAUUAAAACUUUCAAGCUACUGUAUUCCAUAAAUAAUCUGAAACAAAAUUAGAUUCUGAAACUUGCUUCCAAUAUACCCGAAACUACUAAUCUGAAACAAAAUCAGAUUAAAACUUUCAAGCUACUAUAUUCCAUAAAUAAUCUGAAACAAAAUCAGAUUCUGAAACUUGCUUCUAAUAUACCCAAAACUAAAAAAGGUAGUUCUAGUUUUUGAUAUUUUUCAUCCAAAAAUUCCAGAAAAUUAGAAAAAUAGAACGGAGCGAUGUGAGAGACGCCACCUACACGCCCCUCGCUUCUCCUUUAUAUAAGUAUAUUGAUUUAUCUCAAAUCUUUGGUCUCGAUAAAUGGAAUUCAAUGUCCAGUCAUUAAAUUCCAACAUGUGCUAUAUAUACAGACCUGAUUGGGUAUUUCUUAGAAACCCAUUUCCAGUCAUAACCGCAGCGCACCUUACGCUCUUGUCUUUCACAGCCUGGACACCUUGAGUCCACAAUGAUAAGAUGUCAUCACGCUACACUUGAGCCAUCUUCUUGCUAGUUGGGAAUAAGAAGUUCUUGUGCAAUUCUUGUGCUGUCGAUGCCAAUACUCACUUCCUUGAGCUGUAUUUAUAGGGUUUCGGACGGUCCUAUUUGUCCACUUAUUGAUAGGUACACUUAUCCUUAUCUGCAUGUGGUAGGAGGAUGCUCUGUCUCAUUAUUCUUUCUUGUUAUUAAAUAAGUGGAGCUUGGACAUUACUCAACUCGAUCAACUCUGAAAUUUGAUAUUGGCACAGAUGAACAACCACGAAACAUUGAGCUUCUCAGUAAUUGUUGAACCAGAAUUUUCUGGAAACUGAACUAGAAAAUUCGCCACAAGAUCUUCCUGUAUAAAUAAACUUAUAAUUACUUUCAAGUUUCAAGGCUGCUAAUUAAAUUUCAUAAUAUAUGUUUGUGAAUAAAUUAUAUUGAAUUAGUAGCCAAGGAGAAGUUUAAUUGAUCAUGGGGUGAAAUGGGGUCUGGGUACAUCCACUAAUUUCAAAUAACGGCUACAAUGAGCCUACAACUUUAGACAAGACUACAAUGGAAGAAUGAAAUCUGUUACAAACGGAAUUGCAUGUGUCAUUUUUCACGGAUUUGGUACUUUUUUUUUGAGAAAUUCACGGAUUUAGUACUUGAAAUCCGUCAAAAAAGAAGGAUGUAUAGUAGCGCAGCCGCAGAACUAUUCAUGCAACUACAAUUAGAGAACACCGAUUCUACAAGUCUAUCACUCUUCUCGAUUACUAGGUAUAUAGAGUUGUGUAGUUAACAUAACUGCUGUAUGAAAUUUAACACCCUCCCUUGAUCGGGUCGAAAAGAAUUCCGUGCAAGAUAAAUUUUAAAAAAGGCGAUAUAAUUCUAACGUCAUUGAAAAUACUUUUGCAGACACUCAUUAGAGGAAAUUAAAUUUCAACGGUUUUUGGGUACUUGUAGUAGAAUUAGAUGUACAGUACAUGUUUUCUCGUAAGAAUUUGUCCUGCAAACAGUCCCUUUUCACCGUUAUUUCUAUAUGGUUUAUUAACAAGUGAAAUUUUUCAGUGGACUAUGUAUGGAAUAUCAAGAUUUGGUUAUUUUUACAUAAUUUUUUUAUUUAAAAAUAAUUAUUAUUAUACUAAUAUGAAAGGACUUCUAUAUUGAUAUAAUGAUUAUCCCACCAACAUAAUUACAUUGUCAACAAAAAUAUCCACUUUAAAUUUUAAAACGCAAACAAUUUAAAUUAUGAAACAACACCCUUAUUUGGUUAUCACAGUAUUUUUUUAUUUGAUGAUAAUUAUUAUUAUACCUUUAUGAAAAUAUUUUCAUAUUGAUGAGGAUUUUUUAAUAUAAUGAUUAUCCCACUAACAGAUUACAUUGUUAACAAAAUCAGUCCUUUAUAAUUUAAACGUUAAACAAUUUUAUUUAUGAAAUAACUUUAUAAAAUUUCUAUCAUGUUUCACAAUUCAAUAAAAUAGGGAGUCUAUAUUAAUAUUAAUAAACCAAAAUUUGGUUAACAUAAUUUUUUUAUGAAUAACAAAAUAACUAUUAUUAUACUAUUAUUAUUAUAAUAGUAUCAGUAGACUAGUUUAAAAAAAAAAAAAGUAUGAGUAGACUUUAUAUAUUGACCAAAAUUUUGGUAUGUAACGAUUAGGACACCGACAUAAUUACAUAAUUAUCUACAAAACUAUUUAUCUUAAUUUUUUAAACUUAAAUAGUUCAAUUAACGAAACAAAUCUAAUUUAGUUAUUGACAUAUAUAUAUAUAUAUAUAUAUAUAUUAUUUAAUAUUAAUAAUUAUUAUAUUACUAUGAAAAGUCUUUCAUAUUGAUCACAAUUUUAUAAUAUUUUUGAUUUAAUAAUAAUAAAUAUUAUACUAUAAAAAAAACUUCCAUGUUGAUUAGAAGUUUAUAAUGUAAUAAUUAUACUACAACAGGUUGCAUUACCUAUAAAAAUAUUAGUCUUAAUUUUUAAAACUCAAACAAUUUAAUUAAUGAAAUGACUCGAAUUUAAUUAUCAUGAUAUAAUAAUUAUAUAAUAUUACUAUGCAAAUAUUUUCAUAUUGAUCGGUAUUUUAUAAUGCAACAAUUAUCUCAACAACAGAAUCACAUUGCCAACAAAUCUAUUUAUUUUAAUUUUUUAAAACUCAAACAACUUAAUUUAUGAAAAAACUUUAUAGAAUUCUUAUGACGUGUCAUAAUAAAAAUGAAUAAAGAGUCCAUAUUAUAUUAUAAACCAAAUUUAUAUUAAUAUAAAAUUUAAUUCAACACUUGUCUUUCGAAAUAUUGCAAUAAAGACCAAAAAAGUUGGGGUAAUAAUGCGAUGACUCCGUGGAGAAAAAAAAGGCACUAAACAAUUGUCCAUGUUAUAGAUUUAUAGCCAUACAAUGCAAGGACAGAAAAUCACAACAUUGCUAAAAAAAAGAAGAGAACAAAUUACUUUUGAAUUAGAUUUAUUUAGCUUAAACCCUCUCUUACAAUUAUAUAUUAAUUUGUCAAAUUCUAAAGGAACUCUAAUUAAUUAAUAUUACACACACGUCUAAAAUAACUAUGAAUUAAAAAAAUUUAAAUUAUACUACAGACUGAAUACCUACAAACCACCUUAUAAUAUACGUUGGUUCUGAAUAUAUAUUUCAACUCUUUAGAAAUCAUAAAACAACAUAAUGAUUUGUUAAAAUAAAACACAUAAUUCUGAAUUAAAUUCAUAUCAUAACUGUAUGCGAGAAUUAUUUUUAGAAAAAAAAUAAUUUAAAAUAUGAUCAAAUGUUCAUCACAGAAAAUUAUAUAUAUAAAGAUUAAUAGUUUAAAUAUGUAUAUUAAAAUCAUUAUAUUUCUAAUAAAUUUCAAAAUUUUAAUUUUUGUAUAAUUUUCACCAGUGCAUAUUUUUCUAGCAGGAUGGAUCCAUUUUAUUUUCAUGUUGUUAGGGAAUAUAAAGUGAAUGUUGAUUAAUUCAUUUGAAUAGUCAUGUGGUAAUAUUGGUAAAGUGUGAAGAAAUUGUUUUUGGCAAGAAACUGUUCGAUAGAAUGCCUAUAACAUGUGUUGUUUGGCCGAGUAAAAAUUACGGGCCUGUAAAAGCACUGUAUUUGAAGGAGGCGCUAAAUGUUUUUAUUGAUAGGAAAAGAAGUGGGAUGAGGUCUAAUCAAGUUGGAAGAACUCCUGGAGUAGAAGCAGUGGAGUGUGGAAAACGUUUAUAGUGAAAUUUUUAGAAAAUAUAAAGGGACUGUUUGGGUGACUUUAAAAUUAAAUGUUUUUUGUUUAAAGUAGAGAAGUGAAGUAGAAGUUAGAAGUAAAUUAAGAGUUAUGAGUGUUUGAAAAAUAAGUAGAAGUCAGCUUCGAUUCUUGACUUUUUACUUUUUACGUAAACUGUACGAAUAAGUGCUUCUAAUUUAUAUCCCGAGCCGGACUUAAAAGUUAUAGCCAAACACCCCAAUAUAACGACGUCUUUGCUUCAAAAUCGUAUUUUUGUGAUACUUUCUGAUAACCCUUUCAUUCAUCUAGUACUUCUAUAUGUUCCAGAUUCUCUCACUGUCACUGUACUGUUGUAAUUUUAUUGAUGAUUUUUUCUAGACAUAUUUAUUUAAUAUUCAUUUCCAUUUUUGUUUGGUGAUUUUUUAUUUUUACAAUUUGGGUCAUGACAAGUUCGAGAUUCUAGGGUCUAAUGCAUUGGAUGUUCAUCAUCUUUAAUAAAAUCCGUUCUCAAAGUCCCAGGUACUUGUUUAUGGCGUAUCACUUACUCUCUCCGUCCCAAUCAAUUCUAUACAGUUUCCUUUUUGGGAUGUCCCAUCAUUUCUAUACAUUCCCAAAAUAGCAACUUUUUAUAAUAUAAAACAUUAUUACACCCACUACAUUCUCCCACUAUCUCCAUUAUAUAAUAAUAAAAACACUAUUACACCCACUACUUUACUCCACUAUCUCAAAUCUAUUAUUAAAAAAUAUAUGGGUCCCACCACUUUACCAACUUUCCAUAUAACUCUACUCAUUUCUUACACUUUUUCUUGGUCUCCGUGUCCGAUCCCAAUGUAUAUAAUUCAUUGGGACGGAGGGAGUAUAUAUUUAAACACCAACAUAUUGGCGAUUAUUUCACACAUUCCACAUCAGCCAAACCAGAUAGGUGAUGUUGGCAAUUGGAAAUUAUUUAGUUUAUCAGAUGCAUGUUUACCAGACUGGGGCAAUGACAGCACCAAUGACAGUAAGGCCAGUCUUCCAGGUGGUUCCAUCACAUCCAUUCAUCGAGAACUUGACAGUAUUCUCACAGCCGCAUGCUGAGUUGAUGAAUUCACCAACCUUAAGUCCCACCAAUGUAUUCUUUGGCUUGGUCUCCAAAUCUUCCUUGUGCUCUUCAGUAGUGCGGUUGGGACGAGUAAGCUUAAGGGUCACUGGACCGUUCAUGCAAAGAUUGUCGCUAAGCUCCACAACAAAAUACACUCCGUAUUUCACUCCCUUUUUCAGGUUGCUGGUAUCGUACUCUCCGUCAAUUUGGAGCCAGCAUACUGUAAUUAGUUUAGCAACCUCCAGAGCCUCGCAGCUGUGUGUACAAAAGUCCCAAAAACCAAAUAUUACGUAAAAAUUUAUCUCAAAUCUUUGGUCUCGAAAAAUGAAAGUCAAUGUCCAGUCAUUAAAUUCUGUAGUAUAAAAACACCUACGCGUUCCAACAUGUGCUAUAUAUACAUACCUGAUUGGGUAGGUCUUAGAAACCCAUUUCCAGUAGCGGCUGUCUGAACCCCAGACUAUUGAGAGUUCCUUUGCGGUGAUAACCGCAGCGCAGGACUAAAACAUUUAAUUAACAACGGAGAUAUUUCAGAAUUAAAUUAUAUCAUACAAAAUUUAUAUGGCUAAUUAGACUAUAAGAACAAGUCACACGCAUGACAAUAAUACUAUUGCAGAACUAUAAUUUCAGUAGCUUCCAUAAAAAGGUACCGAAUAUUAACAGCCAAAACAACUUACACUCUUGUCUUUCACAGCCUGGACACCUUGAGUCCACAACGACACGAUGUCAUCACGCUGCAAUUGAGCCAUCUUCCUUGCUAGUUGAGAAUAAGCAGUACUUGUGUAAUUCUUGUGCUGUCGAUGCCAAUCCUCACAGCUUCCUUGAGCUCUAUUUACAGCGUUGAGUACGGUCCUAUUUGUGCACUUAUUGAUAGUUAUACUUAACCUUAUCUACGGUAGUAGGAUGCUCUGUCCUGUUAUUCUUUCUUUUUAUUAAAUAAGUGGAGCUUGGAUAAGAGAUUCAUCAAUUAUUUAUGCCAUUUGUGCGGUAGAAGCCUCACUGGAAUCUGGUAACUUUCGGUUUUGAUUGAAAUACUCAUAUAACGAUGAAAUUGUGGAAGCAUCCUACUAUGAAAAAAGAAAUACAUACAGUGACAGGAGUACUUCUGUCAGAUCUCGGACAUUGCUCAACUCGAUUAACUCUAAAAUUUAAUAUUGGCACACAUGAACCAAACCACAAAAAACUGAGCCUCUGAUGAAUCGUUGAACCAGAAUAUUCUUGAAACUGAACUAGAAAAUUCGUCACAAGAUCUGCCUGUAUAAAUAAACUUAUAAUUACUUUCAAGGCUGUUAAAUUUCAUAAUAUAUGUUUGUGAAAAAAUAUUCUAAAUCCAGAAAAUUGACUAGCACAGGCUAUUUCCGACCAUUAUUGGUAACCUUUUUGCCAAGAAAACCGACCAAAUUAAGUUAUUUCUGACUAAACACAUAAUUUAAGAAAUGAACCACAUUUCCGACCGCUAGUGUAUGAAAUCGGUCGGUAAUGAUUUCACGGUCGAAAAUGAAUUUUUAGUUUGUUGGUUUUAAAACAGAGAAUCCCCAAAUGAACCCUGAAAUACCUUCCGACUGACUCAUUUCCAACCAACUCAGUUGGUCGGUUUUAUAAUAGGGGCUCCCCAAUUGAACCCUGAAUUUCGUUCAGACCUUAUCAUUUCCGACCAACUUUAUUGGUUGGUUUUAAAACAAGCCCCCUGAAUGAACCCUGAAUUUAUUUAUGGCAACCUCCAGUCACUUUUAGGUCUAUUCACAUGUAUGCCAAGUUCUAAGAAGAUUUUAAAACAUUACCGACUAAAGAUAGCGGUCGGUCGUCGGUCGGUUAUAAAUAUCAUUUCCGACCGAUCUGUUAUUUACAACCAGGUUUUAAAGGACCAACACAAUCGGUCGGUCGGUGGUCGGUUACGAGGUGAAAACCGACCAACUCUCUUUAUUUUCGGUCGGCGGUCGGAAAUGCCCGUUUUUCUUGUAGUUAUAUCAACUUCCAUCGGAACACAAUAUCUUACACCUUUAAGUCAUAAAUCACUGUUUUAAACUUUCCAAACAGCUUCCAAGUAUCAUAUUAAGAUUAUCCGAUGGACCUACUCGAAACAGUAUAAAACAUAUACAAACGAACACCACCAGAGCAAGGGUGUAGCCAAAAAGCUCAGAAAUUGCUCUAAAAACUUUACAACAUCUCGUACAAGGGAGUAACUAAACAAAAGGUGAUUAAAACACUGUGCUUAAAGUGUCAACGAAACAAAGAUUGUGUACACUUGAAUGAAAUAAAAUGAAAAAAAAGAAUGAAAUGGAAAAUUGUAAAUAAAUUUAAUGGAAAAUGAACAAGUUACGAGUAGAGUUACGAAAAUCGGACCUACUCAUUUAACCUACCGAUUUAGGAUUAUCAGCAAUCUGCGAUUAAUCGGAAGGAUUAAUUGGAGUGAAAACUAGAUAUAUUUUAAUAUUAAAUAAUAAUAAAUAUUUUGUUAUUAUUAUAUUAGUUAUUUAUCAACAAAUAUAUAUUUACUAUAUCAUAAAUUCUACAGUUGUUCAUAUUUAUAGUAAUAUAAUAGUUAAUUUUAAUAAAUUUUAUAUAUACUUUGAUUAAGAAAAUUUUAUAAGGAUUAAUCAGGUUUAAAAAAUCAAAUUAGUCGCCUACCUUGGGGGAUUGAUCGUUAAGUCAAGGGAUUUUUAGAACAAUGGUUAUGAGACAAUAGUGACUAAACACGAAUGAGCCUAAAUUUAGUGUGCUCUUAGACUUUGUUCACUUGGAUGGAAUGAAAUGAUGAGAAAAUGAAAUGAAAUUUGUAUUAUAUUUUGGGGAGGUUGGAGUAAAUGUUUAUAAUUUUCAUUCAUUCAAUCAUUUACACACCAUUCUACACCAUUUGAGUUAAAAAAUCUAACCACAUAUUUUGAAAGGAAUGCUGAUUCCAUUUCUUCUAUAUUUUCCCAACAAUCCCCGUCAUGCGAAAUUCAGAUUCUCAACCUCACUCACUAUUGUCUCAUACAUUCUCCUUUCUGUUUUUGUAGUUUUUCAUUCCAAGUGAACGCAACUUUAGUGUGCUUAAUUAAACAAACAUCAGCACAAAACAAUAUACAGUUCCUCAUUAUGUUUAACUAAUCUUUUAGUAAGACCUUUAAGUUAAAAGUGCUAAAGUAACAGUAGAGACCUUGAAGCAAUUACGAGCUAAACGUUAUAAUAGCCUGAACACUCCGUACUUUAACUUUUUAUAUAUUAAAACACCAAGAUAUUGGCGAUUAUUUCACACAUUCCAUAUCAGCCACACGUACCAGACAGGUAAUGUUGGCAAUUAAUUGGAAAUUAUUUAGUACAUGAUGAUUGUGAGCCACUACAAGAAAAACAGACUCAGACAACACCUUUCAGACAACACAACGAAAAAAAACCGUUGCGAAAAAAGAACACACAACGGUUGCUUUUUUGACCUCGACUAUCCAUUGUCUAAACCAGGACUCAUACUACGGUUUUUAAAAGCGUUGUUAAAAAAUAUGUAAAAAAGUUUGUUUGACACAACAGUUUAUAAAGACCAUUGUUUUUCAGAAAUUCACACAAUUGUCUAUAAAACUGUUGUUAAAUAUUAUACAACGGGUUUCCAAAACCAUUGUUAUUUGCAAAGUCAGACAAUGUUGUCAAGUAACCGUUGUAAUUAAUAAACAACGGUUGGGGAAACAGUUGUGUUUGUACAUAUUACACAAUAUUCCACUAAACCGUUGUUAAAGAAUGCACAACGAUUUUAAUAAUGAGUUGUUGUAUUCAAAUUCACACAACCGUUUUUGGUAGCAUUGUUCUUUAAACCUCGCACAACAGUUUGGCUUAAUUAUAUGUAUUGUAUUGUUGUAUCAUUUUAACUCAUACAACAGAUGAGUAUAUAGAAACCGUUGUCUAUUAGAGACACUAAAAGACAAAAAUUACCUUUUUAUAAUAAGACAAAAUUUACAAUUGACUAUUUUUGUUAAAAAAACAUAUAAAACAAACAUAAAAAAAAUUAAUUUUUUUUAUACAUGACUAAUAUUGGUAGUUCUUAACAUCCGUACGGUUAGAUCAUCAAAAAAAAUAUUUAUAAAUUAUUACGGAACUAAUCUUAUAGAUAACAAAAUUUCUAACCAGUGCUUCCUAAAUUGUAAACAUAAAACACAUACUAAGAGGGGUGUAUUGGAUUGGGAUUUUAAAGAUUUUUUUGCAUUCAUGAAAUCCGAGGGUAUUCGAUUGGGAUUGUUUGAAAUCCAUUAAAAUCUUGAGGUAUUCAAUUGGGAUUUUAAAUUAUGCUUUAAAAUCCGAUGGUAUUCAAUUGGGAUUGUUUAAAAUCCAUUAAAAUCUGAUGGUAUUCAAAUGCUGAUGGAUUUUUUUUCAUUUCAUAAAAUGAUGGAUUUUGUGGCAUUCUUCAGUGUAUUUUAAGUUUUUUGAAAUCCCACCAAAUUCAAUGGGAUUUUGAAGCAUUGUACCUAAAUCCUAUCAACUCUGCGACAUUUCAUCAAGAAUCCGCACAAAAUCAAAAUCUCAUACAAUCCAUUAAAAUCCAUAGACUAAAAACAAUGCAUUAAAAUCCCAAUCGAAUACACCCCCGUAAUACUCACGUCCGAACUACAAAAUUAUCUUCUUGUUACAAAUGAACAAUACAAAUUUGCAUAUAUGUUUAAUACAAAUAUAAUUUUUAGAUAAAAAACAUAAAAAUAAGGAUUUUUCAAGGAUAAGAGAAUCUUUAACUCUUAAAAAAAAUAAUUUAUUAGACAACUGUUUUUUUCCAAUAAAUUGUUGUUUACACUACUUACAUACAACGAGUUUUGUUGAAAACGUUGUUUGAGCUUAUUUUGGACAAUAAUUUCUCUUACAAAAAUUCUCAUGGGACAAUAACCAUUGUCUAUUUACAAGAAAAUGUGGCACCACCUGAUUGGUGGAAAAUAUUUCACCUGGAUUGCUUACUUGGCAAAAUGUCACCAAUUGAUUGACUUCACCUGGAUCACUUAGUUGGCAUAAUAAGAGCCCUUGACUUUCUGAAGGUGUCACACAACGGUUUUUUAAGAAAACUGUUGUAUAAUAUCUAAUUCUUAAAUUUUUUAAUUUUAUAAUGACUUUGAAAUUGAUUUUUAAAAUUUUUAAAUUUGAAUAAUAAAAUAAUAUGACAGUCAAAAUUUAAUAAAUUUUAUCAUUUAAAAUUUGACCAUGGCUAUUAUAAACUCUUAGAUCAACCUGAACUAGGUCUAUCAUAAUCAAACAUGAUUACGCUCGAGAGCGCCCAAUGAGCGCCUUGGGAGCGCCCUAUAAGCGCCCCAGGAAAAAUUUUCAUUAACCAGCUCUACGCCUCUACCUCUCUAGAGAAACACAUUCUCUGUCUCUUCUCUCUCAAACAAACUCUCUCAUUUUCUUCACUGUGGAACAAAUUCCAGAUCUUUCUUCUCAGUCUCUUCGUCUCGUCGGCUGGGUCCGGAGCGCCCGAGAAGCGCCCUGGGAGCGCCCCAGGAGCGCCAAGUGCGCCCGAGGUGCGCUUGAGGACCUCACCAGCGUCGACCUGGGCACCAAGGAUGCCCUAAAUCGACCUGGGUGAGGUCGAAAAAUGACUUGGGCGUCAAAAAACACCCAACGCCCGAGAGCGCCAGAGAAGCGCCCUGGGAGCGUCCUAUGAGCGCCCCAGGAGCGCCAAUAGCGCCCGAGGUGCGCCUGAGGACCUCACCAGCGUCGACCUGGGCACCAAGGAUGCCCUAAAUCGACCUGGGUGAGUUCGAAAACUGACUUGGGCGUCAAAAAACACCCAACGCCCGAGAGCGCCCGAGAAGCGCCCUGGGAGCGUCCUAUGAGCGCCCCAGGAGCGCCAAUAGCGCCCGAGGUGCGCCUGAGGACCUCACCAGCGUCGACCUGGGCACCAAGGAUGCCCUAAAUCGACCUGGGUGAAGGGCAACAUACAUACUAAGUAAGAGAUAAGGGAGAGAGACAAAUAGAGAGAGAGCGACUGAGAGAUAGUAACAGUCAGAGGGAGGGACAGAGUGAGAGAGGGAGACACAUAGAGAGAUCGGGAAAUAUAUUCUAAGAGAGUGGAGAUGGAGGGAAGGAGGGAGAGAGAGAUUUUUAGGACAUUCACUGAGAAAGCAAUGUCUAAAAUGUGAGUAUUAAUUUAUGAUGGGUCCUCAUUAAUGUCUGGGCUAAUACAUUUUGCCUUUAGAAAGCCUUUCCCCUUGCUGAUUUAUCUUUAUUUGUAUAACCCUGCAGUCAUAAUCUUUAUUUUGGUGCGCAUUAUUAAUUUUGGAGUUGCUUUCUGCGCUGACAUUUUUAUGAUUGCAGUCAGAAACUCAAUUUUCCUACUAGAGCUAUGUUCUGUUUCAUGACACAAAAUAGCUUACAAUUAGUGUAUGAGGGCCUUCGAUUUGGGUCCUUCGAUUUGCAGUCUAGAGGGCCUGGUUGGCAAGUUGAGACUGGUAGAAUGGACAACUUAACUACUAGCAAAACUACAACAAACAAUAACAUUCCACCCCAACUUCCGAUUAUAUCAGCACACGUAUAUGCCUAUGUAUUAUUUUACCAUAAUGGCGAGUUCUCUCGAUAUUGCUUGAUUAAUUUGCAUAACUUGUCUUUGCUGCAGGUAUUACAAUCUCGCACAUGCAGUGAAUGAAAGAGUUUUAAGGCAGCCCUCAAUGCUACAAGCUGGAAUCUUGAGAGAUUAUCAUAUUGUAUGUUCCAUUUUUCUGAGAGACUGAUCUAAAUAAAACUUAUUCUUUGGUUUAUUGUCUUAUGUCAUUGCGAGUAGCUCUUUCUUGUUAACAUAGCAACAAGUAGAUCCUUGCCAGUCAUGUGUAGUAUUAUGGAACAUUUGAUUUUUGAUUUGUUGAUGCAGAUAAGGACAACUACGUCAACUACCACAAGAGAUUAAUUGAUUUAGUAAAUAUCAGACGGUUAUGAGGACGACAACACCAUGGGUAGUGCCCAGCCAGCUUAUACUUCAAUGAGAAAGUAUGUAAGGUACUAUAGAGACUUUGUGAUUGGGCUUAACAAAUCCUUGGUGGAUGAUUCCAGUAUUGAGAUAUGCAUGCUUGUACAAGGUUAUUUGUAGCCAUUUGAAAUGUUAUUAAUUUAGUUUGUACAAAUUAUUUUAAUCUUUUGUUAGGCAAAGAUUUGACUUUCAGUUACUUGUAUAAAUUGUAUAAGACAAUAGUUUGAUUUCUAAAGUUUUUACCAUCUCAACAAUUGUACAAAUAAAGUUCACACAACUGUUGACUCUAUUAAUGCAAGAAAACACAUUAUUUUAUCGAAAUUGUUGUGGGGAGGGAAGAAAGACAAUACUUUGUCUCAAGGGAACUAUUGAAUAACAAAUUGUUUUAAAACAUUCUUUUAUAACUAAACCGUUGAAUGGAGUAAUUUCAAACAAUAUUUUUUUUUUUGGUAUUAUUGACUAUAGGAAAGAAGGACAAUCUUUCGUCUCAGGGGAACUAUUGUCUGAAACAUAUCAGACAUGUGGUAUGCAUUUAAGAAACGCAUGAAUAACACAAGGUCUUACAACACUCUGUUACAUCAAAACAGUUGUGUAUACCAACCUUCCAACAACAUUUUCUCGUAUUUGCGUUGUUGUCUUGCAGUAAGACAGACAACGAUUGCGUACCGUUGUCUCAUCCCAGUAUCAGACGGCAUCUCAAUACUCAACGGUAUUUGAGGGUUUCAGACAACGGGUAAUUUCCGUUGUCUGAGAUUCAUGUUUAGCAGUUAACUGGGGCAAUGACAGCACCAACGACAGUAAGGCCCGUCUUCCAGGUGGUUCCAUCACAUCCAUUCAUCGAGAACUUGACAGUAUUCUCACAGCCACAGGCGCCUGUGUUGCAGAAUUCACCAACCUUAAGUCCCACCAAAGUAUUCUUUGGCUUGGUCUUCAAAUCUUCCUUGUGCUCUUCAGUAGUGCCGUUGGGACGAGUAAGCUUAAGUGUCACUGGACCGUUCAUGCAAAGAUUGUCGCUAAGCUCCACAGCCAAAUACACUCCGUAUUUCACUCCCUUGAUGAGGUUGUUGGCAUUGUACUUUCCGUCAAUUUGUAGCCAGCAUACUGUGAUCAGUUCAGCAACCUCCAGAGACUGGCAGCUGUGUGUACAAAAGUCCGAAAAACCAAAUAUUAUGUAAAACUUUAUCUCAAAUCUUUGGUCUCGAAAAAUGGAAGUCAAUAAUGUCCAGUCAUUAAAUUUUGUAGUACAAAAACACCAAAAGCUUUCCAACAUGUGCUAUACAUACCUGAUUGGGUAGGUCUUAGAAACCCAUUUCCAGUAGCGGCUGUCUGAACCCCAAACUAUUGAGAGCUCCUUUGCACUGAUAACCGCUGCGAAGGACUGGACCAAUUCAUCAACAUUAACGGAGGUAUUUCCGAAUCAAAAUAUAUCGUACAAAAUUAUAUGACUAAUUAGACUAUAAUUAAGAACAAGUCACACGCAGGUAUACUGGUGUGUGCAUGGUGCAUGAAAAUAAUACUAUUGCAGAAUUAUAAUUUCAAUAGCUUAAUUAGUAUAUAAAAAGGUACCGAAAAUUAACAACCAAAACAACUUACACUCUUGUCUUUCACAGCCUGGACACCUUGAGUCCACAACGACACGAUGUCAUCACGCUGCAAUUGAGCCAUCUUCCUUGCUAGUUGAGAAUAAGAAGUUCUUGUGUAAUUCUUGUGCUGUCUAUGCCAAUCCUCACUUCCUUGAGCUGUAUUUAUAGCGUUUCAGACGGUCCUAUUUGUGCACUUAUUGAUAGUUACACUUAACCUUAUCUAUGGUAGUAGGAUGCUCUGUCCCGUUAUUCUUUCUUUUUAUUAAAUAAGUGGAGCUUGAAUAAGAGAUUCAUCAAUUAUUUAUGCCAUUUGUGCGGUAGAAGCCUCACUGGAAUCUGGUAACUUUCGGUUUUGAUUGAAAUACUCAUAUAACGAUGAAAUUGUGGAAGCAUCCUACUAUGAAAAAAGAAAUACAUACAGUGACAGGAGUACUUCUGUCAGAUCUCGGAAAUUGCUCAACUCGAUUAACUCUGAAAUUAAAUAUUGGCACACAUGAACCAAACCACAAAAAACUGAGCUUCUCAUGAAUCGUUGAACAAGUAUAUUCUGGAAACUGAACUAGAAAAUUCGUCACAAGAUCUGCCUGUAUAAAUAAACUUAUAAUUACUUUCAAGGCUGUUAAAUUUUAUAAUAUAUGUUCGUGAAAAAAUAUUCCUAAUCCAGAAUACCAACUACCACAGGUUGUUUCUGACCAUUAUUGGUAACCUUUUUGCCCAGAUACCGACCAAAUUAAGUUAUUUCUAAGUAAACACAUAAUUUAAGAAAUGAACCACAUUUCCGACCGCUAGUGUAUGAAAUCCGGUCGGUAAUGACUUCACGGUCGGAAAUGAAUUUAGUUUGUUGGAUUUAAAACAGCGAAUCCCCAAAUGAUCCUGCAAUACCUUCUGACUGAAUUUUUUUUAAAAAAAAACCCUUCUGACCGACUCAUUUCCGACCAACUCAGUUGGUCGCUUUUAUAAUAGGGGCUCCCCAAUUGAACCUUGAAUUUCGUUUUGACCGAAUCAUUUCCGACCAACGUUAUUGGUUGGUUUUAAAACAGGGCCCCAAAUGAACCCUAAAAUUUAUUUCCGACCGCCCCUAGUUGCUUUUAGGUCUAUUCAAGUGUAUGCCAGGUUCUAAGAAAAUUUUAAAACAUUACCGACUAAAGAUAGCGGUCGGUUGUCGGUCGGUUAUAAAUAUCAUUUCCGAUCUUUUAUUUACAACCAGGUUUUAAAGGACCAACACAAUCGGUCGGUCGGUGGUCGGUUACGAGUUGAAAACCGACCAACUCUCUUUAUUUCCGGUCGGCGGUCGGAAAUGCCCGCUUUUCUUGUAGUGAUAGCAACUUCCAUCGGAACACAAUAUCUUACACUUUUUAAGUCAUAAAUCACUGUUUUAAACUUUCCAAACAGCUUCCAAGUAUCAUAUUAAGCUUAUCUGAUGGCCCUUGUACUCGAAACAGAAUAAAACAUAUACAAACGAACACCACCAGAGCAAGGGUGUAGCCAAAAAGCUCAGAAAUUGCGUUAAAACCUUUUUAACAUCUUUGUGCGAGGGAGUAACUAAACAAAAGGUGAUUAAAGCACUCUGCUUAAAGUGUCAACGAAACUAAGUUCGUGUACACUUGAAUGAAAUUGAAAAAAAGAAUGAAAUGGAAAAUUGUUCGUAAAUUUAAUGGAAAAUGAACAAGUUACGAGCAGUGUUACGAAAAUUGGACCUAAUCGGUUAUCCUACCCAUUCAGGAUUAUCGGCAAUACGUGAUUAAUCGGAAGGAUUAAUUGGAGUGAAAACCAGAUAUAUUUUAAUAUUAAAUAAUAUUUAAUAUUUUUUUAUUAUUAUAUUAGUUAUUUAUUAUCAAAUAUAUAUAUUUAGUAUAUCAUAAAUUCUACGGUUGUUCAUAUUUAAAGUAAUAUAAUAGUUAAUUUUAAUAAAUUUUAUAUAUAAUUUGAUUAAAAAAAAUUUAUAAGGAUUAAUCAGAUUUUAAAAAUCAUAUCGGUCGCCUACCUUGGGGGAUUGAUCGUUAAAUCAAGCGAUUUUUAGAACAAUGGAUACGAGACAAUAGUGACUAAACACGGAUGAGCCUAAAUUUAGUGUACUCUUAGACUUUGCUGAGAGAAUGAAAUGAAAAUUGUAUUAUAUUUUGGGGAGGUUGGAGUAAAUGUUUAUAAUUUUCAUUACUUCUAUCAUUCUACACACCAUUCUACGUACACCAUUUGAGUUAAAAAAAUCUAACCCACAUAUUUUGAAAGGAAUGCUCGAUUCCAUUUCAUCUAACCCACAUAUUUUGAAAGGAAUGCUCGAUUCCAUUUCUUCUCUAUUUUCCAACAAUCCCCGUCAUGCAAAAUUCAGAUUCUCGAACUCACUCACUAUUGUCUAAUACAUUCUCCUUUCUCUUUUGUAGUUUCUCAUUCCAAGUGAACGCAACUUUAGUGUGCUUAAUUAAACAAACAUCAGCACACAACAAUAUACAGUUCCUCAUUAUGUUUAACUUAUCUUUUAGUCAGAUCUUUAAGUUGAAAGUGCUAAAGUGACAGUAGAGACCUUGAAGCAAUUACGAGCUAAACGUUAUAAUAGCUUGAACACUCCUUACUUUAACUUUUUAUAUAUUAAAAGCACCAACAUAUUGGCGAUUAUUUCACACAUUCCAUAUCAGCCACACCAGAUAGUUGAUGUUGGCAAUUGGAAAUUAUUUAGUACAUGAUGAUAAUCAGAUUCAUGUUUAGCAGUUAACUGGGGCAAUGACAGCACCAACGACAGUAAGGCCAGUCUUCCAGGUGGUUCCAUCACAUCCAUUCAUCGAGAACUUGACAAUAUUCUCACAGCCGCAGGGGGCUGUGUUGCAGAAUUCACCAACCUUAAGCCCCACCAAUGUAUUCUUUGGCUUGGUCGUCAAAUCUUCCUUGUGCUCUUCAGUAGUGCCGUUGGGACGAGUAAGCUUAAGGGUCACUGGACCGUUCAUGCAAAGAUUGUCGCUAAGCUCCACAGCAAGAUACACUCCGUAUUUCACUCCCUUGAUGAGGUUGGUGGCACUGUACUUUCCGUCAAUUUGUAGCCAGCAUACUGUGAUGAGUUCAGCAACCUCCAGAGGCUGGGGACUGUGUGUACAAAAGUCCGAAAACCCAAAUAUCAUGUAAAAAUUUGUCUCAAAUCUUUGGUCUCGAAAAUUGGAAGUCAAUGUCCAGUCAUUAAAUUCCAACAUGUGCUAUAUAUACAUACCUGAUUGGGUAUUUCUUAGAAACCCAUUUCCAGUAGCGGCAGUCUGAACCCCAAACUAUUGAGAGUUCCUUUGCA
Molecule: long non-coding RNA, 25366 nt
Filed under: Daucus carota (carrot)
Lineage: Eukaryota; Viridiplantae; Streptophyta; Magnoliopsida; Apiales; Apiaceae
Description: long non-coding RNA (DCAR_LNC000807)
Source: RNAcentral